AUUUAACAUCACAUCAGUCCCAGGUUCUUGGUGUCCAGGACAAAGACAGAGAUAUCCUGUGUGUGACCUUAGAGAACAUCCCAGUUUAUAGGGAGCUAUAAAGAUCCCCCCACCUUGAGACAGGCAUUAUUAUCCUCAUCUUUUCUAGCUCUGUAUUCUCAAAGAGAUUUCAUGUCUGAAUUUCUGCUUAAACGUCCAUGAAUGGCACAAGGGCCUAUUUCCUCAACUGCAGGAACAGACUGCAUGUGACAGGUUCCUGUGACUCCUACUGACAAGAAAUGCUGGUCAUGACAUUGAGGACUUCAGGCCGGCUCUGCAUGGAGCUCACUUGGGGGCAUUUGAGGGGCACUUGCUGUAGAAACUGAGCUGUGGUUACACACAUCUGUCACUGUCAAGUUCCAGGCCCGUGGAUGCAUGGCCUGAGUGAUUUCACAUCUUCCCUUGUGGCCAUGGGCCACGCCUCCUUCCUGAAAUGCCCUGAGGUCCUUCAAGUGCCCCUUCUGGGGAGGUUUCUGAUCUCUCCCAAGGCUGGCGGCUGCCCCUUCCCCGUGGUUGUCUCCCCCGCACUCAGCCCUCCCAGAGUCCAGCUGUCUGCACAUGCCUCCAGUGGGUCCUGGAAGCUCCUUAGCAAGUAUUUGUCUACUGAAUGGACAGAGGCUAAAGGCCCAUGAUCUUCAGAAAGAGACACUACCUGGACAAAUUUCAGGUACGGUAUUUCUAGAUAACGGAUGCCUGCAAUGCAUUCAUUCAUUCAACAGACCUUUACCGACCGCCUUGCUCUGCACUAGGUUAGCAUGAGAAGUUGAAAGGAGUAAAUACAAAGAAGAAGAAAGCAGAAUACGAAGUGAAGUGAGGAUACAGAAUGGUAACCAAGUAACUGGGACAUUCAGUUGCAAGCAAACAUGAAGAGCAGAGGGAACCUCGGAGGGGUGGCUCUAGGUGUGCCAGAAAAGCUGCACAGCGGAAGUGUCUUUGAGGUGCUCCUUGAAGAAUGCGAGUCCAUGAAGCAGAGGGGAGAGGGGAGCAGCUGGGGCCGGGCUGGAAGAGUCCUGGGGGCCGGGCAAAGGGAUUUGCCCUUUGAGAGUCUGGAGCUGGUCAAAGUUUAAGAUAAUAACCUAAUGACACCAUCAGGUUGGACGAUGUCUUACCUGCUGAUUCCCCAGUAACCCUGUGUCUGGGGAGAGGUUUACUGCUCUCCUCCUGUGUUACAAUGAGACCCAAAAUUCCAGAACCUUCUGCACUGGCAGACUCUUCUAUCCUGGGGGCAUAGGGGUGCAGCCAUUACUCCCUCCCCAUGGGAACAGAGCUCGCUCUCUAGACCCCUGUUAUGCUGACCCUCACUUCCAAUUCUAGAAGGAAUUAAAUGUAAAAACUACGGUUGGAGGUAAGAUUGCUCACCGCUUUCUGUGGCCAACAAAGUGGGGUCCCAUCUGCCAGCAUUUCGAAAUAAGCAUUUAGAAAUAAGUAUUCCAUUUUUUACAUCUGGUCAGACCCCCCCUACCCCAGGUGGUGAUACACCAGUGUGUGUGCUAGGGAUAUUUUAUAUUGGUGUUGUGGUCAUGUGUGAGUGUGAGUAUUUGUGGGUGUAUGUGUGUCUCAAGGUGGCAGCCACAGCUCACCUGCCCUGAAAGAGGGCACGUCAAAGUCAAGGUAAAGUGCUCGUCAAGCUGAUUCACAGGCAAAGAAAAGGACUGCUUUUGUUGUGAGAGUAUUUUCACAGUUUAGAACCAGAGGCUUCCAGACAUGGUUGAAAGCUAUGCUGGGCAGGAAACAUAAACCUUCCUUGCGAACCUCCUAUGAAGGGCAUGCCAACCAUAAAUAUUUAGCAUUAUUAAAUGUGAGUAUUUAUGAAAAACAUGGGGCUUUAUUUUAAAGGAUUUCCGGGCUUAUUGUACUUCGUGUCAACAAACGUUAGCAUGUAUGGCUUUACCUCCCAGAGAAAAGUUUCAGUAGCGGGCAUUUAGUGAGAUCUGUACACCUACACGUUGCAGAUGGUCUCGUUCUAUAAGAGAUGAAACUGCAUUUGGUGGAGCUGAUUAAAUAUAAAAACACCACCAUCUGCCAUUUAUUCUAAUAGAAAAUGGUUUGGGCAGAUGCUGACAUCUUUGGAGAUGAUUGAUGCAUCCCUGACAAGAGAAGAGGCUCAGAGCCAUCCAGCUGCCCACGGCUCAGAGCCAUCCAGCUGCCCACGGCUCAGACAAUCCCUGUUCACAACACAAGGGCCAAGCCGGGCGCUCUGAUUUGGAUGUAGCAGGUGAACAGACAGCACUUCAAUAACGAAAAACCAGGAACUUCUAAGCGCAUCGACUGUCUUCUCCCCACUCCCUGCCUCUCUUGACUUCUGGCCUAUAUUUAGCUGGAAGAAUAUUCUAGCCACACGCUGCAUUGUAUUAAGUGCCGGUUACUCCAGCACCGGGAUACCUGGAGGAGAGUCUAUUCUCAUUUUAGUGUUAAAAACUUUCAAAUGCUCUCUUCAUGUGCUACUGCUGGGUAGAGAAUUAUUUUCCCUAAGCCGACUGUAGGGUUUCAUUAAAAAAUAUAUUGUUUACAAAGCAACCAUGACACCCAUUCCAAACUGACUUGGAAACAGCUGUAUCCAUACUGUGAAACAUCUAUGGUGAUCAAAUGCCCUUUACAAGGAGAUAACAAACUGUGUCUUUCUGUAGGAAUAUUUUUGUAACAAUUUUUUUACAGCCUAAAUAUUUUCAGGAAGAAAAUUUAGACAUCAAGACAUUUAUUUGGUGCUGCGUUUAUAAAAUAUCUUUCUAUUUAUGUAGUGAUCGUUAGAUGUGAACUAAUUUUUUUUUCUCUGAUAGAAUUAAAUUCAGAGGUGAAGCUGGGUUUUCCCAUCUUGUUCAUCACAUUUUAAAAUAUUUGAAUUCUUUAUGUUGUGUUAGGCAAAGUGAUUUAAGACUAUUUCUUGAUAUUAUUUUCAAUUAAAUGCAGCCAACCUACACCCCAGUGCAUUUGUGCUGCAAUUAAAUAUAUUUGUGUGCCUAAAAUUAUGCCUGUUUGUACAGAUAUGUUUCCAUUUUGUGCUCAUAGAAAAUUCUGUUAUUUUGAAUUAGGUGCUCGUCCACUUAGUGCCUCUCUAUUUCUCUAUUUCCUGUUGUCUAUUUCUUCUAACCGCUGUCUACUCUAAUAAUCAAAGCAGCAGAAUUAAAGUUCAUCUAUUUCUCUGCCAGCAUUUUACGUGAGACGUGCAGUAAGUGUUACUGGAAACUCCAUCUCUCAGUCAUGUUCCCAGCAUCUCUCUGUCACGUUCCCAGCAUCUCUCCUCUACCUCCUCUCUUCUCUGCCUCAUAGACCAGCCUUUGAACCACUUUUCAUAUCCUGCCGACAUCUUUCCUCCCCCUGCCCCCGACAUUGACCACUGGUCUUCUCUACAUUGUUUAUGAUCUUAUUUCUUUCUUAUUCCUCCAGGUGAUAGGCAUCCUAGGAGUCACCUUUCCAGAGCAGUGGGAAACUCUGAUGGGGUAGUUUUCUCCUUUCACUGGAGUUAUCACCACAGACUUUGGCCACCUGCCCACACCCUUCUUCUUGAACUUUCUCCUUGUCUCUCUACACGCAGAGGCAUUCUUUUCUUCCCUUUUCCUUCCUCACCUGUCUCUCCCUUUCUGGCCUUGCUUGUUCCUCCUCCCUGCCAAGAGGAACUACUCACUGAGAGCUGGAAACACCUAGAAGAAUAAGAUGCCAUUAUGGGUAGAAUUGUCCCCCACCUUGUCCAUGUGCUGAAGUUCUAACCCCCAGUACCUCCAGAUGUGACCAUCUAGGAGAGAGGGUCUUUAAUGAGGGAAUCAAGUUAAUGUGAGCUCACUAGGGCCGCCCUGAUCCAAUUGGACUGAUGUCCUUAUAAGAGAGUCACCUGGAGGGAAGGUGACCCCACGAAGACACGGGGAGAAGACGGCCAUCUACAAGCCAAGGAGAGAGGCAGGAAGGACAGAGCCUUCCCUCUCAGCCCUCAGAAGGAACCAAUCCUGCUGACACCUUGACCUCGGACUUCCAGCCUCCAGAACUGAGAGACAAUACAGGUCUGUCGGUCUUCCCCCAGCCUGUGGUUUGUUUGUUACAACAGCCCUAGGAAACUAAUACAGAGACCAUCCCUGCCCUCGAGAGAUAAAGAUGCAAAAGGCAAUCAUGAGAUGGUGACAGUUGCUAAAGAAGCGUGGUGGAAAGACAGAGAAAGUCAGAAUUUGGAGGAACGGUCAUGUGAACGGGUUGGGAAGGCUUCUUGGAGGAUGGGGCACAAAUGUUGCAACUUAAAUGAUGAGUAAGGAGUUUUCCAGCAGAUGUUUAGAAGCAAGUAUUCUGGGCAAAUGGGAAAACUUAUGCAAACGUAGGAGGACGCAGGGGAACUGUGGUCACAGGUGAGUUUUGUCUGGGCACUCGGGUAAUGAUGGUGGUUCAUGUGGUACUUUUUCCCGGCAUCCCUCUUCCUUCAGGACACGAACCCACUUCCUGCCUCUUCACCCUCCUUCAUUCUGAUGGACGUUAUUUGGAAUCCAAACCUUGGAUUUGAAAUAUGAGAGGAACAUGCGUCCUGCUACCUCUUGCUGCAUAACUUAGUGGUUUAAAGUAAUAACAAGUUGCUGUAAAUCACAGCUCUGUGGCUUGGCUGAUUUCAGCUGGACAGUUCUCUCGGGGUCUCUCAAGUGCUGCCGUCGGAGGGUGACUGGAACUGGAAUUCAUCUGAAGUCUUGACCGGGCAGGGGUCCCAGACAGCUUCUUCACUCACGCCUGGCGCCCAGCUCGAAUGGAUGGCUGGAACAGCUGCGGUUGCCUGCAUCUUUCCAUGCCGCUUCUCCACAUGCCAGCGAGGGCUCCCUCACAGCAUGGUGGUACCAGGUGUCCAGACUUCUUGCUUAGGGCCUGGCUUUCUCCAGAACCAGCCUUUCAAGAGGCAAAGGCAGAAACUUGCCCCCAAGCCUUGAAAGCCAUACAGCAAUGCUUCUGUCACAUUUUAUGAGCUACUCCAGCUGGGCCAAGAUUCAAGGUGAGAGGGACUGCAGGGGGGCAUACCUACUGGAGGUGUGGCUAAUUAGAGAGCAGUUACCACAAGCAGUUUCCAGGUCCUGUUACUGGCUUGUGUUGAGUUCCACCUUUCUUGUGGUUAGUGAGGUGAAUCUGUGAGAUCCUUGUCAGGAACUUGAACUAGCAACCAGCACCACAAAAUAGAUUUUAUUUACUUGAGAAAACUGGACCAAAGGAGUGUCAGAUUUAAUAACUAAGUCCUCUUCGCUGGAGCCAGGAUGCCUGCAUGCAGAUGUCGCAGUCCGGAGCUCUGUUGGACAGUUCAGCUAGAGCCAAAGUUGGCCAGUGAUGGAGAUCAGAAACUCCUCUGGUGGUUUGAUACUUGCAGGGUGACUAGAGGAAUAAAGGGCAUCAUUUGUAAAGCCCUGAAGCCUUCCUUUAACGAAUGAGGGCCCAUUAACGUGAUCAUUCGGCCCCUUUAUAGGAAGUGCCUGGGUGCUCUCUGAUGCUAUGACCCACGGGUCAUGAUGCAGAGCCUUUCAAGGACAUCCUCUUUGAAGCCAAAGCAACUAAAAUAUAAGUCAAGUUUCAGGUGUACAGCAAAGUGAAUCAGUUAAUGACCUAUAUGGGAGAAGAAUCUAAAAAUGAGUGGAGAUAUAUAUGGAACUCAGCCUCCAGGGACUGCCUACCUGGAUUCUGCCUUGUUCCUGAGCCCAGGACUGGUCUCUGUUUUUUUUCUGAUUCCCCAUCCUUGAGUCCUCGAAGUGUUAUCUGUAGCAUCCUGGCUCUUCCGGUGCCAUCUUGCCUUGGUUGGGGCCUCCCUUGGCACUGGCUUGUGGCCUCCCAACCCGCCCUGUGUCUGCUGAGGUCCUGCUCCUGGCUGACAGGCCAACUGCGACCCCCCUUCUUGGGAUCCAUCACCCAUCGAGACGGUUACCUCCUUGCACGCCUUCCAGACGCCCAGGACAGUGCACCCACCCGAUGGAUUGCCUCUCAGUUCCCACGGGGGUCCUGUCCCCUCAUCCCUGUGCCUGGCCCUGCUGGUGGGUCUCCUUCCUGCUUGGGCCUGUGUCCAUUCUCAGGAGUUGAUUUAUUGAUGGGUGACCUCAGAAUCGAUGUAUUUUUUCAGGUAGGCUCUGUAAUAUGCAUGGUGCGGUGCGGAACAGGAGAAACCAGGUCCCUGUAAAGGCCAAACAACCAGCCUGCAGAUCACCGUGUCUGGGUUCUAGAAACUGGGGAUCCACAGAGUGAAAUUGAACCGUGUGUGAACACCUGAGAAAUUCGUGUGGCAAGUACAAUAUAAUGGCCUUUGUUUUCUACUGGUCAGCAAAAAAGAUAAGGAAUCAAUCCUAGAAAUAUGGAAUAGAAGUUAAAACAGCCAUAGCAGGCCUCCAUCUCUAUUUUUUUCCACUGUCUCAACUCUUUAGCCUGCCACUGUCUCCUAUCCGUCUCUGUGCCUCAGUUUCCUCAUCUGCAUCUGCACUGUGUGACUAUUGAAAGGUUAAGUGAAAUAACACACACCGUGUUUAGAAGAGUGCCUGGCAUGCAGUGGGCGCACAAAGAUGUGUGUUAUUACGAUCGUUAUUAUAAUGCCAUCAGCAGCCCAGACUCAGAGUGGGCUCUAUUCCUCCAAGGUGAUGGUCGGCAGAACGAUGUUUUUGUCAAACUGGUCCUUCCAUAAGCACCAUCUGUCUCUAGACCAGGAGGGUGCAGUGCUUGGGAACAUGUCUAACGGACUGCGAGAUGAUUUACAAAUUGGACAUCGAUGCUUCUUGGAAUCUGCAGGUCAUAAAAUCUGCUUCAAGCAAAGCCCACUCAGAGUUGUCAGGAUAACUUCAAUGGGAUGCUUUCCAACAAUAUAUGGGGAGAUGGGGCCCUGGCAGAAAUGACAUCUAUUUUGAUCAUUUUGUACAAAACCGCCCAAACUUUAUGACUGGAACCUCAUAUGUCAAUCUCACCGAUACAUACGCUGUCAGCUCAGUGAUCACGAUCAUGUAUUUUGACAGCAACAUCUGUCACCUGUUCCGAGGCCUCUGUUUAUUUGAUGUAACGGACUAUGUGGCAUCGUACGCUUUCUGCUCCUUCAGGUACAUUUUCCCAAAUUCCACGGGCUCCUGGAGGAAAUGCCGCUUCAGAUGGAGGAGGAAGGACCUGGGGUCUCAGCCACGCUUCUAGCUACAUGCCCAUGGCCUGUCUGGCAAAUACGGGGUUGCGUCACAAUCGUCAAAAAUAUUUGUGUAUCCCUCAGACCAAGGCCCUUCGGAAGACUAAAUACACAGGAUUUAUAAUGAGACUUGAUUAUGGUGGCAGCAAAGGUGAGAAUUACAAUAAAACCCGAAGCCAAGUCUCAUUUCUAUGAGAACGUGCAGCCGCCUCUUGCAAACCACAUUUUUCACCAGAGUUGUUAACAAGUACAUCUAUGGACAUGUGCUAGUUUCAUUUGUAGUAAGAUGAUGCAUGGGGCCUUUCUCGUGCAAUUAGGACCCGUGGGGAGAAAACAAAACAGGGUAAGUGCUCCCACAUUCUAACAGAGUGCUAGAAGUUGGGGUCGGACACCUCCACAGGCCCCACCAAUGUCACCCGCCCCCCUCGUCCCCAGGCUCAGCCCCCCUUGCCCCAGGCUGUAUGAGAAGAGGAAUGGGGAAAGAAAGGCAGGUCUGGAGGCUGACCUUCUGGGAAGUGCAGAGUUGGGUGGUGGUGGUGAGAGCCUUUCCUUUCUCCCAUGGUGGAGGAUGGUGUCUUCAUCCUUGAAGUCAAGGGCAGGUCUCCAAGGGCAUCCUCAGAGUUGAUAGAAGUGUCUGUGAACGAGGGGCCUGCAGUUCAUCCUUUGGUAGAUGCUUGCUGAGCUCUAUCUCCUCCCUGUAUCUUAUCCCUGGGCCCAGCCUGGUGCUACUGUCUAAGUGGAAUUGGGGAGGGUGCUAAGGAGAGCUCCUUAGAGAUUCUCUGACAAUUAAAGAUGUGCUCCGUCGUGGAGACUGUUACCUUUUUGGGUGCAGAGAUUUCUGAAGGCAGGAGGCCAGCUGGGAUGAGAGUCUGAUGUGCCUUGGAGAAAGGUGGGUUUGACCCCCAUCCAUUCCAGCUUUCCAAGGCCAUUAGCAGGCACAGAAGAGAGGAUGCCGGGCUUCUUGCGGUUCCACAUGAGACCAUGAUGUUAUUAGAGGUGCAGGGCCCCGGAACCAGGGCUUCAGGACACGGAGAGGCCAAAGUGGAGCUGAGCAGCAUCCCGAGAAGACCACACCAGCCAACCACGGGGAGAGGGUCCUAUAGCAGGGGGCAUGGCAGCAGACUGGCGCCCUCCUCUCUACUGCACCCAUCCAGGAGCUGUGCCCCGGGCCCUCAUCCCCCUGCUGCCCUUUGCCUAGAAGUCUCCUCCAUCUGCAUCUACCACCCGUCCCCUGGCGUCAUUCAGGCCGCCACUGACACGUCUUCUCCUUGUAGACACCCUCCCUGGCUGCUUCAUCUGUGCGAACACCUCUUGUCCCUCUGCAUUCCCAGACCCUGCUUUAUCUUUCGACAGCACUGCCUCACAUUGUACUACACGUUCAUCCGUUCCCUAGUAUCUCCCCUGCCCCCGACACAGGGUGUGUAAGGUCCAAGGGGACCCGGGAUUUGCUUCAGCCGACACGUUCUCUCCAUGGCCUAGGAGAGGCGCUGCAUGUGUCAGGUGCUCAGAAAAUAUCUCUUAGAUGAAUGAAUGAAUGAAUGAAUGAAUGAGCUGGACUGAUCCUUCCUCCUUCGUCAGGCGGUCAGUCGUGGUGGGCAGUCCCCAGCAUGAGUCGUUCAGUUUUCUUCCCUUCGAGAACCAUCGUCUGUCCUUCUUGGGCCUGACCCGUGCCUUGGGCUCAGCCGUCAGGGCUGGGUUUGACCAGGAGAGACACCUGCAGAAAACUUGGAGGAGAGAGAGUUAGGGGUCAUUCUUCCCAGGCUCCGUCCCUGCUGGGCUGUGCCUGGCAGCGGCUGAGGCCACCAGUGCCCACCGUGGGUGCCCCCUCCCAUGGCUGGAACUCCCGCCUCAUGCCCCUGAGACCUGGGCAAGGCUUCCUGCCAUGGCCCAUGUCCUGGUCUUCCCUGCGCCGCCCCCUGCUCUGUGAACAGGCUCUUCAUUAAGCUCAUCCACGGCCCCUUGAGCGUGUCGUCUCUUUCCUGCUGAGACAUGACUGAUGCACCCGCCUCCCCACGCGCUCACCCUCCUUCAUCCUGAGCUAACCACGCAACCUCGCUGCCAGGGUGCAGUCCAUGGCCAGCUGCAUCAGUGGGACCUGUGAGUGUGUUAGAAUGCAGAAUCUGGCCUCCCCGUGGAGUCUGAAUCUGUAUUUUGAGACGCCCCGGAUGAUCUGCGUUUGAGUCUGCACAGCACCAACUGGAGAAGGGGGGGGCGUUGUGUGACUGUGGGGCCACGCUCUACCCCGACACUCCGUGGUUCAUUUGUAAACUAGCAAGGCAGGCUCUUCAAACAUCGCCUACACACUUCUUCCCUCUGCCUCUUGUGGGCAGAGUCGGGGAUGCUCUCCUGCUCUGGAUUCAGGCUGCCUGGAUUCCAAUCUUUCUUCUCCUCCUCACUAGCUGUGCAACUCAGGGAAAUUUCCUAACCCUCUCUGUUCCCUUGCUUGUCCAGUGAGGAUGGUAAUCGUGCUGCCUAAUGGGAUUGAGAUGUAAGUCACAUGAUGCAUAUGCCUAAUGGGAUUGAGAUGAUUAAGUAAGUCACAUGAUGCAUAAGAAGUGAGGGAACCAAGUAUGCGGAUAUAUGUGGUAAGAUGAACUCAAACCAGGAAGAAAAGCCAAGGAAGCAGUGCCUGGAGCCGGUGCCGCCCACAGCAUCACUGCACGGAAGCUGAGGAAUCCUGGUGGAGGUGCCGGUGUGUCAUUUUGGGUAGGAGUGAGGGUGGUCAGGUUUGGUAAUAUACAGGCUGGAAAACCCUUUUGUGUAGUUCACCUCCUAAAUAAGAGGCGAUCACCUGAAAUGAUAAUCACUAAAGCACUUAUAUUUACUUGAGAGUUUGCAAGGCCCUUUCGAAGACAUAAUACAGAUACUUAAAAGUCUGAGAAGCAAAGUCCUGAAAAGAUCAUUCUGGGCAGUGCUCAGUCAGAUGGAACCCUUCCAGAAUAAAGUUGACUGCAAAUGAAUCCCUGCUUCCAAAUGUAAUUCUGCAGAUGCACUUUGAUUUCACAGCCAUUGAUCAAUAAUUCAUUUGGCUCGUGACUGCCGAUGACAUGAUUUAAUAUGUCCAACUAAAUUAUGUCCCCAUAGGAACACUCAUGGGGUGUUUGGAACAUGCAUACCAAAGGAAAAAAUUACAAUUACCACAGUGUCGGCCCCGAAUUGAAGCAAGAGAGCAUACAUGCCUAGACAUGCAGUUUGAAAUAAAAGAGGGACUUGUGAUCAGAUCAACGGAAGACCUAAAGCAGAGACAGCUCCAUGAGCCCAGGACCUUCUGUUGAUGUCCACAGCUCCUAGUCUGGAGCACCGACCCUUGCUCAGGAUCUGUCAAUACCCACGGCCAAGAUCAGAACUGGAAAGGCCAAGGUGAGGCACACCCAGAGAAAUUAACACUGCUUGAGUAAUCCCAAGUACUUAUUCGGACUUCCUAAGAAACACGUCCAUCAUCUUUACUGUUGGUGGGUCUCUGCCUAUUUCUCUGUAAUUGUCUUUUGGGCCCCCCUCAUUUAGUGUGAGGCAAAUUGGGUGAACUGACGGAAGUAGCAAGGCACGUGUGUGAAGACACUGUGGUGUGUUACCUGAAGAAAAAAUACUACAAGGCUUAGUUUCUAACAAUAGCAACAAAAGGAAUACGCCAUCCAGGAGAUUUUGUGUGAGACAAAGUUAAACACUAAGAAGAGCCAGAUCUGGGCUUCCCUGGUGGCGCAGUGGUUGAGAGUCCGUCUGCCGAUGCAGGGGACACGGGUUCGUGCCCCGGUCCAGGAAGAUCCCACAUGCCGCGGAGCGGCUGGGCCCGUGAGCCAUGGCCGCUGAGCCUGCGCGUCCGGGGCCUGUGCUGCGCAGCGGGAGAGGCCACAGCAGUGAGAGGCCCGCGUAC
Molecule: long non-coding RNA, 11006 nt
Organism: Orcinus orca (killer whale)
Lineage: Eukaryota; Metazoa; Chordata; Mammalia; Artiodactyla; Delphinidae
Exons: 5
Source: RefSeq, a predicted model, not a curated record